RNAcentral lists this ribosomal RNA (168 nucleotides) under Lepturacanthus savala (Savalani hairtail). RNAcentral's name for it is "partial small subunit ribosomal RNA". The record is from RNAcentral. Lineage: Eukaryota; Metazoa; Chordata; Actinopteri; Scombriformes; Trichiuridae.
CACCGCGGUGAUACGAAAGGCUCAAGCUGACAGCCCCCGGCGUAAAGCGUGGUUAGGGCACAUUUAAAUUAAAGCCGAACACCCCUUAGGCAGUUAAAAGCUUAUAGAGGGAUGAAGCCCACUUACGAAAGUAGCUUUAUUUUUCCUGAACCCACGAAAGCUAAGAAA